This 72-nucleotide transfer RNA is filed under the name Ganoderma sinense. RNAcentral's name for it is "tRNA-Arg". It matches the Rfam family "tRNA". Rfam says of the family: Transfer RNA (tRNA) molecules are approximately 80 nucleotides in length. Their secondary structure includes four short double-helical elements and three loops (D, anti-codon, and T loops). Lineage: Eukaryota; Fungi; Basidiomycota; Agaricomycetes; Polyporales; Polyporaceae. The record is from RNAcentral. RNAcentral also lists the same sequence under 1 other name.
GCAUCUUUAGUUUAAAGGUUAAAACAAGAAACUUCGAAAUUCAUAAUAAUGGUUCAAUUCCAUUAAGAUGUU